Molecule: ribosomal RNA, 120 nt
Filed under: uncultured bacterium
Lineage: Bacteria
Description: partial 16S ribosomal RNA
Rfam family: Bacterial small subunit ribosomal RNA
Source: RNAcentral
GCGCUUUCGGAGGGGCCUGCGGCGGAUUAGCUAGUUGGUGGGGUAACGGCUUACCAAGGCGACGAUCCGUAGCUGGUCUGAGAGGAUGACCAGCCACACUGGGACUGAGACACGGCCCAG